GCCUUCGUGGUGUAGUGGUCAGCACGCUCGACGCGUAACCGAGAGAUCCGUGGUUCGAUUCCCGGCGAAGGCA
This 73-nucleotide transfer RNA is filed under the name Stegodyphus mimosarum. It matches the Rfam family "tRNA". From Rfam's summary of the family: Transfer RNA (tRNA) molecules are approximately 80 nucleotides in length. Their secondary structure includes four short double-helical elements and three loops (D, anti-codon, and T loops). The record is from Rfam by way of RNAcentral. Lineage: Eukaryota; Metazoa; Arthropoda; Arachnida; Araneae; Eresidae.